Molecule: ribosomal RNA, 585 nt
Filed under: uncultured bacterium
Lineage: Bacteria
Description: partial 16S ribosomal RNA
Rfam family: Bacterial small subunit ribosomal RNA
Source: RNAcentral
UGGGGAAUUUUGGACAAUGGGCGAAAGCCUGAUCCAGCAAUGCCGCGUGUGUGAAGAAGGCCUUCGGGUUGUAAAGCACUUUUGUCCGGAAAGAAAUCCUUGGCUCUAAUACAGUCGGGGGAUGACGGUACCGGAAGAAUAAGCACCGGCUAACUACGUGCCAGCAGCCGCGGUAAUACGUAGGGUGCAAGCGUUAAUCGGAAUUACUGGGCGUAAAGCGUGCGCAGGCGGUUUGCUAAGACCGAUGUGAAAUCCCCGGGCUCAACCUGGGAACUGCAUUGGUGACUGGCAGGCUAGAGUAUGGCAGAGGGGGGUAGAAUUCCACGUGUAGCAGUGAAAUGCGUAGAGAUGUGGAGGAAUACCGAUGGCGAAGGCAGCCCCCUGGGCCAAUACUGACGCUCAUGCACGAAAGCGUGGGGAGCAAACAGGAUUAGAUACCCUGGUAGUCCCACGCCCUAAACGAUGUCAACUAGUUGUUGGGGAUUCAUUUCCUUAGUAACGUAGCUAACGCGUGAAGUUGACCGCCUGGGGAGUACGGUCGCAAGAUUAAAACUUAAAUGAAUUGACGGGGUCAUAGCUGUUUCC